CUGCAUCUGGACACACCCUGUACGACGUGAGGGUAAUUGAAUUGCUGGAGUCAGGAGCAACAUGUAUUAAUGCCUGGUCAUUGUAGAUACUAGAAACUCUCCAGAAAUCUUUGCAUGGACAAGUAACUCAGUGCCCCCAUUUCAUUAACUGGAUGGGGAUCACCAACAAGGGCUUGCUCACCUUCCCUUUCCCAUUACCAAAUGGAUUGCCAGCUCCCAUUUUAUUCCCUCCCUGGUAGUGUCCCAUUCUUAGAAAUCCAACCCAAUGAUUCAAAAGCACCAGUGCAGCACACCCCCUGAUUUCACAGGAUGAUUUUCAAUAGCCCAGCACAGGAUAUUAACAUCCUAUCUAUAAAUAUCACUUAUUCAUUUUUACUGGUAAAAACACUAACAUAUUACUUAAGAAACCAUUUUAAAAAUUACAUUCCCAGAUAACUCUCACUGAGUAUGGGCUGAUCUAUUUUUUUUCUUUUAAGCAGCUUUGGAAGCAGAAUGAUUCGUAUCAACACUGUUUUCCAGUAUACAACUUUCAUCACUGCCAAACACUUUUUCAAGAAACAUUUCAACUUAAAACUGUCCUGAAUCUUUGCCAUUGGAGCUAAUCCCUUAAGGGAAGAGGCUGAGCCAAACUAAUGCAGUUUUUACUUUGAAGCACUAAUGAGUGAUGAUUAAAGGAUAAGUUUGAUCUAUACAUCCCCUGGAACUGCAUCUGCUAAUGCCCGAGGAUAGACUGCAAGCAAACCACGAGGGAUGAGCAUUCACAAUGCAGAACCCAGCAAGCACUGUUUGGAACAGGUUCUUUGCCAACACAGCCCUGGAAGGUGUCAUCUGUGCUAACCCGCUGAAGCAGAUCAGCUACCUGAGGAUCCUAAGUCUGCAGCAAAGAAAUAUGCUGAGCUGCACUGUGGCAGCCCUGCCAUGCCCUGUAUCAGGAGGUGUGAGCUGGAGGAAACUGACACAUUCCAGUACAUAAUGGCAGGAUCCAACUUCAAGAAAUAGUUCAGGGGUAUUGCUGAAUCGUCCAUCAAGUCACCUAAGUUUAAAUCUAAAGGAAAUUCACAAGAUGCUUUCCCUCAACACUGUUUCUGACUGUCCUGCUAAGGUCCCCUGCAGAGAGACAUCUCCGUUCAUUACACACCACACAAGAGCUUUCUCGUAUCAGAAAACAAGGGAAGGAAUCAGCCUGCCUGGUUGCCUUCAAAAGACUUUUUUGCUCAUUCAUUGUAUUUUAAAUAAACAAACAACUUGUCCAUUAAGCAUUUCCCCCUUGUGGCUUCCUGGACCUCAAUUUUCCUCCCCAUCUCCUCUCACACAGCACACCCUUGAGUUGUGUUGUUAUUGUAGCCAGGGCAGCAUAAGCCCAACCAAGACCCAAAAUGCCCCCCUGCCACCUCCGCACUCAAACCCUCCAUCUACGCUUGCUUGCUGUACCUCCCAGGGAUGUUCAUGUCAAAGAUUGUCAUUCUGUGCUUACUUGUCCUGGUUGCAAAAGACUCCCAAAAUAGCAGUUGAGUGACAGAAUUCUGCAAAAAGCAGCAUUUUCAUGAUUUUUGUUUGCAGACUGUAGGCCAUUAAUAAUUCUCUCUGCAGUUACCCCCACAUGGAUUAGCAUUUCACCCUGGGUGAGGCUGGACCACCCAUAGCUGGAGAGUGGUAAAGUGACUGCACAGCAACCUGCACAACUGAAGGCCAGGAGGAAAUAAAGGCUGACACUGAAUCCUCUUCACACAUCACCUGGGCAAUAGAGAAAAGGCCUGGGCUCUGGCUAAUUUAUGAAUCAUUCCCUCCUAGCACAUAAACCACCCACUUAUGCGGCAGAAAAAGAGUACAUGUGUGCGUCACUGCUUGGAGAAGCAAUGCAAGCAGAAACCUCACCCACUCUGACAGAUUUCUAAAAGAAAAGAGGGGAGAGCAGAGAAAGCCACCACAAAUGAAGCCACCCAUAUGCUGGUCCAAAGCCCCAGGGUAUUCCAAGAUAAUGGACUUCUACCAGUUUCUGUUGAUUUUGAAGAAAAUUUGAGAAUAUUGGAAAAAAUCUUCAAGGACUGUAAGAGAACAGCCAUUACCAGAACAAACCCACUCUGAUGAAUAUUUUAACCACAGUUUCUCCACUUAAGAGGAAACCAAUCUCUCAGAUCACUAAGAAUCAAACAGGCAAUUUUCAUGACUGAUACUAAAUAAAAAAUUUCGUUAUCUACCAAUAAAUGUUUACCAUAGCUGAGUACAGGUUGUUUAGCUUUAACCAACAUAAGCCUGGCAACAUCUUUCUAAAAACACAGUGAACAAAACCAAUCCACCAUGUAAGAAGAAAGAGCCUCUCCUCUAUCUGCUAUAUUUUUGAUUAAGCUUCAGUUCAUAGUGAGGUAGGGCGUAGGUCUGUGCCUCUGCAGAUACAGGGAUAUUGUUCAUUGUGCUUACAGCAUGUUUUAUUAAAAACAUGAAUGAAGAUUUGUUCCCCUGAAGUUCUAGCUUGCUAACAGCUCUGGGAAAUGGAUGAAUGACAGCAUCAAAUCCCAUCAGCCCUGAAAUUUAGGAUGACAACAACUUGCCU
Cyanistes caeruleus (blue tit) is the source of this 2551-nucleotide non-coding RNA. NCBI's taxonomy places the organism in Eukaryota, Metazoa, Chordata, Aves, Passeriformes, Paridae. The record is from RefSeq and is a predicted model, not a curated record.